GAUGAACGCUGGCGGCGUGCCUAAUACAUGCAAGUCGAGCGAACAGACGAGGAGCUUGCUCCUCUGACGUUAGCGGCGGACGGGUGAGUAACACGUGGAUAACCUACCUAUAAGACUGGGAUAACUUCGGGAAACCGGAGCUAAUACCGGAUAAUAUAUUGAACCGCAUGGUUCAAUAGUGAAAGACGGUUUUGCUGUCACUUAUAGAUGGAUCCGCGCCGCAUUAGCUAGUUGGUAAGGUAACGGCUUACCAAGGCGACGAUGCGUAGCCGACCUGAGAGGGGGAUCGGCCACACUGGAACUGAGACACGGUCCAGACUCCUACGGGAGGCAGCAGUAGGGAAUCUUCCGCAAUGGGCGAAAGCUUGACGGAGCAACGCCGCGUGAGUGAUGAAGGUCUUCGGAUCGUAAAACUCUGUUAUUAGGGAAGAACAAAUGUGUAAGUAACUAUGCACGUCUUGACGGUACCUAAUCAGAAAGCCACGGCUAACUACGUG
This 497-nucleotide ribosomal RNA is filed under the name uncultured bacterium. Its description in RNAcentral is "partial 16S ribosomal RNA". It matches the Rfam family "Bacterial small subunit ribosomal RNA", at positions 28 to 507 of the family's 1533-position model. The record is from RNAcentral.